ACCGUUGGCUAUCAGGCUGAGCAGAUUGGAGACAUUGCUGACAGGAUUGGAUGGGAAAAGAAGAUACUUAGAGAAUGGACUGGCUCAUCAGCCAUCACCAUCCAAGGAGAAUGGGGACCAGGGUUUCUUUGUGUAGCCCUGGCUGUUCUGGAACUCAUUCUCUAGCCCAGGCUGGCUCUCAACUCAGAUCCACCUGCCUCUGUCUCCUGGGUGCAGGGAUUAAAGGCCUACACCACCACCUGGUCAUGCUUCUGCGUCAAGUCACCUAUGUCCCCAGCCCAUGAUGACUAACCUUGUCAACCUGACUGGAUUUAGAAUUAUCCAGGAGUUUGAGACAUGCCUCUGGGUGUGUCUGUGAGCUGUGUUAGAAGAGGAUUAACCAAUCCGGAAAGACCAACCUUGAACGUACCUGUCUACAUCCCUUGAGUCUGGAGCUUGACGGAAUGAAAGAGGGCAAGGGAACGAGGCACCUGAGGAGUAACAAGCAGCCUACUCUGCUUCCCGCUCUGUGGCAACCUGAGGAUGUGUCAAGUCCCAGCCCUAUGUUCCUAGUGCCACAGGACCUCGUGCUUCCAUGCCUUCCCCUCCAUGUAUACCCUCAAGCCAUGAAUCAAAAUAAAUCCUUCCUCCCG
Molecule: non-coding RNA, 632 nt
Organism: Rattus norvegicus (Norway rat)
Lineage: Eukaryota; Metazoa; Chordata; Mammalia; Rodentia; Muridae
Source: RefSeq, a predicted model, not a curated record